This 727-nucleotide ribosomal RNA is filed under the name uncultured Actinomycetes bacterium. RNAcentral describes it as "bacterial SSU rRNA". It matches the Rfam family "Bacterial small subunit ribosomal RNA", at positions 61 to 804 of the family's 1533-position model. Lineage: Bacteria; Bacillati; Actinomycetota; Actinomycetes. The record is from RNAcentral.
GUCGAACGGUGAAGCCCUUCGGGGUGGAUCAGUGGCGAACGGGUGAGUAACACGUGGGCAAUCUGCCCUGCAUUCUGGGACAAGCCUUGGAAACGAGGUCUAAUACCGGAUACGACGCAUCCCCGCAUGGGGUGUGCGUGGAAAGCUCCGGCGAUGCAGGAUGAGCCCGCGGCCUAUCAGCUUGUUGGUGGGGUAAUGGCCUACCAAGGCGACGACGGGUAGCCGGCCUGAGAGGGCGACCGGCCACACUGGGACUGAGACACGGCCCAGACUCCUACGGGAGGCAGCAGUGGGGAAUAUUGCACAAUGGGCGAAAGCCUGAUGCAGCGACGCCGCGUGAGGGAUGACGGCCUUCGGGUUGUAAACCUCUUUCAGCAGGGAAGAAGCGCAAGUGACGGUACCUGCAGAAGAAGCACCGGCUAACUACGUGCCAGCAGCCGCGGUAAUACGUAGGGUGCGAGCGUUGUCCGGAAUUAUUGGGCGUAAAGAGCUCGUAGGCGGCCUGUCACGUCGGAUGUGAAAGCCCGGGGCUUAACUCCGGGUCUGCAUUCGAUACGGGCAGGCUAGAGUGUGGUAGGGGAGAUCGGAAUUCCUGGUGUAGCGGUGAAAUGCGCAGAUAUCAGGAGGAACACCGGUGGCGAAGGCGGAUCUCUGGGCCAUUACUGACGCUGAGGAGCGAAAGCGUGGGGAGCGAACAGGAUUAGAUACCCUGGUAGUCCACGCCGUA